This 154-nucleotide unclassified non-coding RNA is filed under the name uncultured Elaphomyces. RNAcentral's name for it is "sequence contains ITS1". The record is from RNAcentral. Lineage: Eukaryota; Fungi; Ascomycota; Eurotiomycetes; Eurotiales; Elaphomycetaceae.
CCGAGUACGGGUCCCUGGGGCCCCGACCUCCCACCCGUGUCGAUCGUACCGUGUUGCUUCGGCGGGCAGCCGGGCGUGUGCCCGCCGGAGACCCCCUCCAAACACUACUGUGGUUCAAGGAAGACUGUCUGAGUGGGUAAGAAAUCGGUUAACA